Rosa chinensis is the source of this 1418-nucleotide long non-coding RNA. RefSeq lists it as uncharacterized. NCBI's taxonomy places the organism in Eukaryota, Viridiplantae, Streptophyta, Magnoliopsida, Rosales, Rosaceae. The record is from RefSeq and is a predicted model, not a curated record. The transcript has 2 exons.
CUGCCGGCCCUUCCCUAAUACUAUGUGCCUUUUCAUUCAAAAAAAAAUGUGCCUUCAGCGGCUCAGCCACUGCACCGUUGUUAAAUGCCAUUUCUUGUCUUUUGUUUAGUUUAAUUGGGCUGGGUCUAUUUAUUAUCAAGGAAACCCUGUUCUGGGUUCAACAUACAAAUCAAGGCCAUCGGGACUAGUUUGUCUCUAUGUGCUUCGGAGUAUUUUUAUUAUCAGCUACUUCGAACUCCUCCAUAACAGUUGUCCAACUGUUCACCCAUCAAAAUCCGCUCGAAAUUUAACUCUGAAGUUCAUAUAUUCUAAAUCAAACACGAUCUGGCUUCACCCUCGACUUUUUGGCCGAGUCCUUGCACGGGUACUUCUUGAUUCCGGCGACGGGGAGACGACUGAUUGCGAGGGAUAUGGAUUUGUUGCCAGAAUCGGGUAGGAUCUCGGCGGGGUUGGUGAUGGUUUAGGCGGAGGAGAGAUGUGAGAUUUGAUCUGUGCGAAUUGCGAAACUCUUGUUGAAGUCUUUGAACUAGAUUUUCAUGGUGAUCAAUUGGAGGAGACGAGUUUGCCAUCGAUGGAUACCUGCCCCUCCAUCUUGUUUCACAAACUCACACUACGUUAACUACAAACCCACACUAACAGAAAAUGGACGGCCAAAUUUGCUCCAGAUCUACUCAGCCAUAGAUCAACGGCAAAGAGACCCAGUUGGAUGACCACCCAAGGUGGAUAGCAGAAGUUUCAAUACUACAAACUACAAACUAAACAUGCUUAUACACAUGGACAAGUUUUUUGCCACCCCACCAGAUAAGUCGGUCGGCAGAGUGUGGACAUAGCUAGCCAACUACGAGUCUUUGAGUACAUGUUUGGCUACUUAAAGCAAGGAGAGACUCGACCAAGGCUGCUCGGGCUAUUUUUGGGCAGAGUAGAUUGGUCAUGAACAAAUGAGGUUCUGCAAAAGCAACCAGUUGCUCCUGACUAGAGAACCAAGGUUUCUGAAGGUAUUAUUAGAUCAACAUCACACUUUUUUCUUAUGUUCUACAUUAGGGACAGAACCUGUAAUCAAGUAGCUUAUCAUCUGACUUGGUGUAUUGUCUGAAUAAGGUUUUAUAAAAAAUCACAACAAAUAUCACUCAUGAAACCAGAGAAACCACAAAAUGUUUGUUUUCGAACUUUCUGCGUUUAUUCUUACAAUAUAUAUCGAAGCAUACAACAAUUAAGGAUUAGGGAACAGUUGGACCAGAAAAACCUAUAGCUAAUAUAAGUGCUUGCUGCAUGUUUAACAUUGGCACCAAGGCAAAUGUUUUUAAGCAUAGAGCUCCAAAUUGGAUAACCUUGGUGUUGGUACAGCAAUAAGUGGAGUGCUUUUCUUUGUCACAAUCCCAAAUUUGUCUGAAAGGUCAAGCUUUUCGUCAUUAGGCAAU